This 425-nucleotide ribosomal RNA is filed under the name uncultured bacterium. RNAcentral describes it as "partial 16S ribosomal RNA". It matches the Rfam family "Bacterial small subunit ribosomal RNA", at positions 354 to 796 of the family's 1533-position model. The record is from RNAcentral.
GUGGGGAAUAUUGGGCAAUGGGCGAAAGCCUGACCCAGCAACGCCGCGUGAAGGAAGAAGGUUUUCGGAUCGUAAACUUCUAUCCUUGGUGAAGAUAAUGACGGUAGCCAAGAAGGAAGCCCCGGCUAACUUCGUGCCAGCAGCCGCGGUAAUACGAAGGGGGCUAGCGUUGCUCGGAAUUACUGGGCGUAAAGGGCGCGUAGGCGGCCCGGUAAGUCUGAAGUGAAAGUCCUGCUUUUAAGGUGGGAAUUGCUUUGGAUACUGUCGGGCUUGAGUGCAGGAGAGGUAAGCGGAAUUCCCGGUGUAGCGGUGAAAUGCGUAGAGAUCGGGAGGAACACCAGUGGCGAAGGCGGCUUACUGGACUGUAACUGACGCUGAGGCGCGAAAGUGUGGGGAGCAAACAGGAUUAGAUACCCUUGUAGUCC